UUUUUGUCCGACAUCUUAGCAAGCCUGCGGUGUCUGCUGCUGCUCCCCGAGCUUCGCAAUGCCGCCCAAGGACGACAAGAAGAAGAAGGACGCCGGAAAGUCGGCCAAGAAAGACAAAGACCCAGUGAACAAAUCUGGGGGCAAGGCCAAAAAGAAGAAGUGGUCCAAAGGCAAAGUUCGGGACAAGCUCAAUAACUUAGUCUUGUUUGACAAAGCUACCUACGACAAACUCUGUAAGGAAGUUCCCAACUAUAAACUUAUAACCCCAGCUGUAGUCUCUGAGAGACUGAAGAUUCGAGGCUCCCUGGCCAGGGCAGCCCUUCAGGAGCUCCUUAGUAAAGGACUUAUCAAACUGGUUUCAAAGCACAGAGCUCAAGUAAUUUACACCAGAAAUACCAAGGGCGGAGAUGCUUCAGCUGCUGGUGAAGAUGCAUGAAUAGGUCCAACCAAUUGUACAUUUGGAAAAAUAAAACUUUAUUAAAUCAAAAAAAAAAAAA
This is an RNA transcript of Macaca mulatta (Rhesus monkey), 497 nucleotides long. It is a transcript of the gene named small ribosomal subunit protein eS25 pseudogene, with no coding region annotated. Lineage: Eukaryota; Metazoa; Chordata; Mammalia; Primates; Cercopithecidae. The record is from RefSeq and is a predicted model, not a curated record.